This 345-nucleotide unclassified non-coding RNA is filed under the name soil metagenome. Its description in RNAcentral is "partial contains 5.8S ribosomal RNA, internal transcribed spacer 2, and large subunit ribosomal RNA". The stretch from base 1 to 120 matches the Rfam family "5.8S ribosomal RNA", at positions 35 to 154 of the family's 154-position model. The record is from RNAcentral.
GAUGAAGAACGUAGCGAAAUGCGAUACGUAAUGUGAAUUGCAGAAUUCAGUGAAUCAUCGAGUCUUUGAACGCACAUUGUGCCCCCUGGUAUUCCGGGGGGCAUGCCUGUCCGAGCGUCAUUGCUGCCCUCAAGCACGGCUUGUGUGUUGGGCCUCCGUCCUCCUCCCGGGGGACGGGCCCGAAAGGCAGCGGCGGCACCGCGUCCGGUCCUCGAGCGUAUGGGGCUUCGUCACCCGCUCUUGUAGGCCCGGCCGGCGCUUGCCGACACAUCAAUCUUUUUUCCAGGUUGACCUCGGAUCAGGUAGGGAUACCCGCUGAACUUAAGCAUAACAAUAAGCGGAGGA